GACGAACGCUGGCGGCGUGCUUAACACAUGCAAGUCGAACGGUAAGGCCCUUCGGGGUACACGAGUGGCGAACGGGUGAGUAACACGUGGGUGAUCUGCCCUGCACUUCGGGAUAAGCCUGGGAAACUGGGUCUAAUACCGGAUAGGACCACUGCCUGCAUGGGUGGUGGUGGAAAGCUUUUGCGGUGUGGGAUGGGCCCGCGGCCUAUCAGCUUGUUGGUGGGGUGGUGGCCUACCAAGGCGACGACGGGGAGCCGGGCUGAGAGGGUGACCGGCCACACUGGGACUGAGAUACGGCCCAGACUCCUACGGGAGGCAGCAGUGGGGAAUAUUGCACAAUGGGCGCAAGCCUGAUGCAGCGACGCCGCGUGAGGGAUGACGGCCUUCGGGUUGUAAACCUCUUUCAGCACCGACGAAGCGCAAGUGACGGUAGGUGCAGAAGAAGGACCGGCCAACUACGUGCCAGCCGCCGCCGUAA
Molecule: ribosomal RNA, 478 nt
Filed under: uncultured bacterium
Lineage: Bacteria
Description: partial 16S ribosomal RNA
Rfam family: Bacterial small subunit ribosomal RNA
Source: RNAcentral